UACGGUGGUGUUUGGGUAGAAAGGUGGAGGUAUCGGGGUGCUAUAGGGCGCUACGGGGUGCUAUGGGGCAGCCCCCCAGUGCUAUGGGGUGCUAUGGUGCUAUGGGGCAGCCCCACAGUGCUAUGGGGCAGAGCCACGGUGGUGUGGGGUGCUGUGGGGAAGAGCCACGGUGCCAUUCGGGCAGCAACCUGGUGGUACUGGGGUGCUAUGGGGCGCUAUGGGGCAGCCCCACGGCACUGUGGGGUGCUAUGGGGUGCUAUGGGGCAGCCCCCCAUGCUAUGGGGCAGCCCCCCACGCUAUGGGGCAGCCCCAUGCAACCCCAAGACACUAUGGGGCUGCCCUAUACAGCCCCCCGAUGCUACGGGGCAGCCCCCUGGUCCUAUGGGGCAGCCCCCCAGUGCUAUGGGGCGCUAUGGGGCAGCCCCCCAGCCCUAUGGGGCAGCCCCCCAUGCUAUGGGGCAGCCCCCCAAGCACUGACCCGUGGCCGUGGUGGUGUUUGUCGGCGCCGUGCUGCUCCCCGAAGCCGGGCGAGGUGAGGACGAACGGGCGCUUCGGGAGGCUGAACUUCAGCCCGCCCGCCCCGGGGGCUUCUGUGGGGGGGGGACAGAAAUUUGGGGGUGACGGGGGGGCCACGGGGGGUGGCGCGGGCUUUUUUUGGGGAAUU
RNAcentral lists this long non-coding RNA (664 nucleotides) under Anas platyrhynchos platyrhynchos (common mallard). Its description in RNAcentral is "lncRNA (ENSAPLG00000024031.1)". Lineage: Eukaryota; Metazoa; Chordata; Aves; Anseriformes; Anatidae. The record is from RNAcentral.